Long non-coding RNA from Brassica napus (rape), 1149 nucleotides. RefSeq lists it as uncharacterized. The record is from RefSeq and is a predicted model, not a curated record. The transcript has 3 exons. Lineage: Eukaryota; Viridiplantae; Streptophyta; Magnoliopsida; Brassicales; Brassicaceae.
CGUGAUCACUGAGAGUUUUUUUCAAAACUUUUUGGGCUACUAAUUUUUAUUUUUCUGUGGGCUCUUACCAACUGGCCCAUCUUCUUUAGGGUUUCUAGCUCCUGCUAUAAGGAUUUGGCUCCUCCACUCACUCUUCGUCUCUUUGAAAGUCAAAGGAGAGACUCUGUAAGUUCUAACGUCGUAUGUUUCUUCUUUCAGUCUCAUCAUUUAUUGCUUACCCACUACUCAUCCCACUCUCUCUGAAUUAAACAUCAUCAUUAUCAUCAAUGGUAGCCGCUUGAGACUCUCAACUAUAAAACGGUCCCUUCUCUGCGAUGAAUAGCCACAGUUAUACGGGAUCCCUAAUAUGUUUUUCCUGGAUGAGAAGGUAAGUCCGGCGAGCUCUGUCUUCGUUUUUAUAGAUUCUUACAUAGAUUACGAGUCCUCUCUUGGAAUUCAAUUACGUUUUCUCCCCACGAAGACUAUGUCUUUGGUUUUAUCUUCUAUCUAAGUCAUAUGGAGUUUGCGUCUCCGACUACGUAACGCUUUUACUUUUUCGCCAUAGACCACCAUAUGUGCACCUUGGACGAAGUUACCAUUAUAUUUCAAUUGUUUUCCUGACUGGUGCUUGAAGAUAUAGCUCUGGUGUAUUGAAUUCUCUUUAUGCAAGAUUUACUCUCUUAAAAGGAUAGUAGACAAAGGUCAUGACGGUUGGAAACUCGGUAGAGAGUUGCAAAGAUGAGUCUAAGCCUCAAAACUGUUUUGAAUAGAAGUGGGAAGAUGCAGAGCCAAGGGCCCGGAAAAUAGGAAGAAGAUAACAAUGUCCGUGAGCUGUUCUAUGAUACAAGAACCAGUGAGGACUCGGAAAAAUAAAAUGAUGGAAACCAUUCUUGUGGAGUUCUGAUUGAGACUGGAAAGAAGCUACGAUUUUAUAACAUCAAUGCUAAUAGUUGUUCUCCUGAGAUAGUUUUCAGGCGUUUUAUAUAGACAAGCAUGUUAUAAGGAGAACACUUAUCAUGUUGUGAAAGGACAUGUGUCCAUGAAGGUGUGACAGUCCAGGAGAAGUUCAAUAUUCGUUGAGAAAGAUUCUUUGUAUUGUACCUUUUUGGGGAUUUGUAAUAUAAAGCUAACAUAUUCUUUGAUUAUUUUAUUUCAUUUAAUUAUGUGAUC